RNAcentral lists this ribosomal RNA (589 nucleotides) under uncultured Alicyclobacillaceae bacterium. Its description in RNAcentral is "bacterial SSU rRNA". It matches the Rfam family "Bacterial small subunit ribosomal RNA", at positions 11 to 596 of the family's 1533-position model. The record is from RNAcentral. Lineage: Bacteria; Bacillati; Bacillota; Bacilli; Caryophanales; Alicyclobacillaceae.
GUUUGAUCAUGGCUCAGGACGAACGCUGGCGGCGUGCCUAAUACAUGCAAGUCGAGCGGAUGCCUUCGGGCAUUAGCGGCGGACGGGUGAGUAACACGUGGGCAAUCUGCCCAUCAGACCGGAAUAACGCCUGGAAACGGGUGCUAAUGCCGGAUAGGGCAAUGGGAAGGCAUCUUCCUGUUGGGAAAGUGGCUAAGGCCACACUGAUGGAGGAGCCCGCGGCGCAUUAGCUAGUUGGUGAGGUAGAGGCUCACCAAGGCGACGAUGCGUAGCCGACCUGAGAGGGUGACCGGCCACACUGGGACUGAGACACGGCCCAGACUCCUACGGGAGGCAGCAGUAGGGAAUCUUCGGCAAUGGGCGAAAGCCUGACCGAGCAACGCCGCGUGAGCGAAGAAGGCCUUCGGGUUGUAAAGCUCAGUCACUCGGGAAGAGCGGUUAGCACAGGGAAUGGUGCUAACGAGACGGUACCGAGAGAGGAAGCCCCGGCUAACUACGUGCCAGCAGCCGCGGUAAUACGUAGGGGGCAAGCGUUGUCCGGAAUCACUGGGCGUAAAGCGUGCGUAGGCGGUUGUGUAAGUCUGGAGUG